This 244-nucleotide ribosomal RNA is filed under the name uncultured bacterium. RNAcentral describes it as "partial 16S ribosomal RNA". It matches the Rfam family "Bacterial small subunit ribosomal RNA", at positions 57 to 305 of the family's 1533-position model. The record is from RNAcentral.
GCAAGUCGAACGGUAACAGGUCUUCGGAUGCUGACGAGUGGCGAACGGGUGAGUAAUGCAUCGGAACGUGCCCAGUCGUGGGGGAUAACGCAGCGAAAGCUGCGCUAAUACCGCAUACGAUCUAUGGAUGAAAGCGGGGGACCUUAGGGCCUCGCGCGAUUGGAGCGGCCGAUGUCAGAUUAGGUAGUUGGUGGGGUAAAGGCUCACCAAGCCAACGAUCUGUAGCUGGUCUGAGAGGACGACC